GUUUUGGGGCACAAUUCAGUGAGGUUUUACGUGUUGUUGGAGUUGCAUCUUGGUCAGUUUAGCUCAGAAAAUGCUGCCCUCGUCAAUCUGCCGCCACAGGAGGGAACCUACUCCUGCCUAAUGAGCGGGCCGACCCUGUGAAUAUCAUAUGGAAAGUUAAGUAAUGUCCUCUGAAGCAUACAUGUGACCACAUAAAUGGAGCAGAGGUGUUGAAGCAUUGGGGCUUGUUGUCCCAGUAGACACCCAGGAAGUAGACAGGGACUCCAGAUGAUGGCCAGGCCGAUACCACCAGCUCAGAGUACAGCGGGGAAGACGACCAGGAAGGCCCAGAACAGCAGGUAGAUCACUGGCCACACCGGGCUCACCCAAUGACAGUCAACAAUCUAUACACAAGCACACUAUACACCGUGGUAGGCAAAUGGAUUCAGCUGCAGGCCGAUUUUUGUCAGAUCGGAUGGUAAUAAUUUGUACAUGGAAAAUUGACCACAAUUAAGCCCACAAAUAGGUUGUAUUUGAAAAGGACAAUCAUUUUAUACCUUGGUUACAUUGAGACACGAUCACGUCUCUUUAUUCGUGGGAAUACUUCGAUUUUCGAAAUGAAACGCAUUUCUACAUGAAUUUCUAGUGAUUUUAUAGUCUUUGUUGACAAAAAACUAAAACCACUUUUUUUUUUUUAAUCUCCCGCAG
This 687-nucleotide long non-coding RNA is filed under the name Salmo salar (Atlantic salmon). RNAcentral's name for it is "lncRNA (ENSSSAG00000083712.1)". The record is from RNAcentral. Lineage: Eukaryota; Metazoa; Chordata; Actinopteri; Salmoniformes; Salmonidae.